UACCAGCACCCCGAGUGGUCGGGACGAUUAUUGGGCCUAAAGCAUCCGUAGCCGGUCAUGCAAGUCUUCCGUUAAAUCCAGCCGCUCAACGGUGGGGCUGCGGAGGAUACUACGUGGCUAGGAGGCGGGAGAGGCAAGCGGUACUCAGUGGGUAGGGGUAAAAUCCUUUGAUCCAAUGAAGACCACCAGUGGCGAAGGCGGCUUGCCAGAACGCGCUCGACGGUGAGGGAUGAAAGCUGGGGGAGCAAACCGG
RNAcentral lists this ribosomal RNA (253 nucleotides) under uncultured bacterium. RNAcentral describes it as "partial 16S ribosomal RNA". It matches the Rfam family "Archaeal small subunit ribosomal RNA", at positions 474 to 727 of the family's 1478-position model. The record is from RNAcentral.